RNAcentral lists this ribosomal RNA (204 nucleotides) under Triticum aestivum (bread wheat). Its description in RNAcentral is "partial small subunit ribosomal RNA". The record is from RNAcentral. Lineage: Eukaryota; Viridiplantae; Streptophyta; Magnoliopsida; Poales; Poaceae.
AUGUCGAGCUCCACUUCAGCCUCCCGCCCCUUGUGGACCCAGUAUGGUCCACUUCCCAUGGAGCGAUGUCCUGACUGCCCACGCAGCGCACCACUGAUAAAGUUGACUUCAAAGGAUGUCAAGAAUGGCAACUAUGGGCGCGAGUUCGUGAAAUGCGAGAGCAAGCUAGAGGGGCAGAUCGUGAAGAAAUGCACACAUUUUUAA